UACGUAGGGGGCAAGCGUUAUCCGGAAUUACUGGGUGUAAAGGGAGCGUAGACGGCGGUGUAAGUCUGGAGUGAAAGGCGGGGGCCCAACCCCCGGACUGCUCUGGAAACUAUACGGCUGGAGUGCAGGAGAGGUGAGCGGAAUUCCUAGUGUAGCGGUGAAAUGCGUAGAUAUUAGGAGGAACACCAGUGGCGAAGGCGGCUCACUGGACUGUAACUGACGUUGAGGCUCGAAAGCGUG
RNAcentral lists this ribosomal RNA (240 nucleotides) under uncultured bacterium. Its description in RNAcentral is "partial 16S ribosomal RNA". It matches the Rfam family "Bacterial small subunit ribosomal RNA", at positions 524 to 763 of the family's 1533-position model. The record is from RNAcentral.